GGAGGAUCUGUUCUGCAGCAAAAAUCUCAGAUGUUGUUAUGGUAAAUCUCUAUGGAGAUAAAGAGACCUGACUGGAGCUGUAGUAAGGAAUGGACUACAAUAGUCAGCCCUAAGAUCUAAGCUGCCUCUUCAAAAUCCAUCUCCUGUCCAGUAUGAUGAUGAAUAUCUUCAGUUCCAGAUAAUUGGAAGAAUGAGGCAAGAGAAUCACAGGUUUGAGGCCAGCUUAGUGUGAUCUUAUCUCAAAAUAAAAUGUUAAAAGGAUUGAAAUUAUAGCUCAGUGGUAGCAUGUGCAAGGCCUGAGUUUCAAUCCUCAGUAUUGGGG
Molecule: long non-coding RNA, 322 nt
Filed under: Fukomys damarensis (Damara mole-rat)
Lineage: Eukaryota; Metazoa; Chordata; Mammalia; Rodentia; Bathyergidae
Description: lncRNA (ENSFDAG00000027808.1)
Source: RNAcentral